AGUCAACAUGCCCAGGGGACGUGGAUAACCUCGGGAAACUGAGGAUAAACCGCGAUAGGUCAUCACUUCUGGAAUGGGUAAUGACUUAAAUCUAUAUGGCCCCUGGAUUGGACUGCGGCCGAUCAGGCUGUUGGUGAGGUAAUGGCCCACCAAACCUGUAACCGGUACGGGCUCUGAGAGGAGGAGCCCGGAGAUGGGCACUGAGACAAGGGCCCAGGCCCUAUGGGGCGCAGCAGGCGCGAAACCUCUGCAAUAGGCGAAAGCUUGACAGGGUUACUCUGAGUGAUCUCCGUUAAGGAGAUCUUUUGGCACCUCUAAAAAUGGUGCAGAAUAAGGGGUGGGCAAGUCUGGUGUCAGCCGCCGCGGUAAUACCAGCACCCCGAGUGGUCGGGACGUUUAUUGGGCCUAAAGCAUCCGUAGCCGGUUCUACAAGUCUUCCGUUAAAUCCACCUGCUUAACAGAUGGGCUGCGGAAGAUACUAUAGAGCUAGGAGGCGGGAGAGGCAAGCGGUACUCGAUGGGUAGGGGUAAAAUCCGUUGAUCCAUUGAAGACCACCAGUGGCGAAGGCGGCUUGCCAGAACGCGCUCGACGGUGAGGGAUGAAAGCUGGGGGAGCAAACCGGAUUAGAUACCCGGGUAGUCCCAGCUGUAAACGAUGCAGACUCGGUGAUGAGUUGGCUUAUUGCUAACUCAGUGCCGCAGGGAAGCCGUUAAGUUUGCCGCCUGGGGAGUACGGUCGCAAGACUGAAACUUAA
RNAcentral lists this ribosomal RNA (754 nucleotides) under uncultured archaeon. RNAcentral's name for it is "bacterial SSU rRNA". It matches the Rfam family "Archaeal small subunit ribosomal RNA", at positions 102 to 859 of the family's 1478-position model. The record is from RNAcentral.